Molecule: long non-coding RNA, 524 nt
Organism: Canis lupus familiaris (dog)
Lineage: Eukaryota; Metazoa; Chordata; Mammalia; Carnivora; Canidae
Exons: 4
Source: RefSeq, a predicted model, not a curated record
UGUAGGUUCUACUCCUCAUUGCACACCGAUUGCAGCGGGGCUGGGAAGAGGGGGCCCUGGGACAUUUAUCCCCUGCCCGCCUGCUCCGCGAGGGAGGCUAGGGUGUCCUGCUCCCUCCGUGGGGACACCGGAGCCGGCCGCUAGAGCUCACUUAGCCCAGCAUCCGUCUUUUGCUGAUGGGAAAAGCUAAGCAACGUGUGCUGCCAAGACCUGGAGUUCUCCAGGCGGGGAGGCAAGCCAGACCUCGUUGCCCAAGACUUACGAGGCGAGCUCUGGCCAUCGGUCUGUCUGUCUGGAUUUACCUGUCCACUGCUGGCUCAUCACAGCCCUCUGGCCGGCGGAUUCUCAACAUGUUCCUGAUGAGAUUAGAAGCUCCUGCAGCACACGGCUGGGAUGUCAGCAACCCUCCGCCGGAAAGAGUAAAAUAGAGCAGAUCCCUGGCCCUGGAGGACUCCUCGGCCUCCAAUUCAUGGGCAGCGCGCCCUGCGCUGAGGUGGCUGGGACACUGGCCGCCCGGACACUGG